UCCUACGGGAGGCAGCAGUGGGGAAUUUUGGGCAAUGGCAGAAAGCAUGACCCAGCGACGCCGCGUGGGGGAUGAAGGCCUUCGGGUUGUAAACCCCUGUCAGGGGGGACGAAAGCCUCUCGGUGUAUAGCCGGGGGGUCUGACGGUACCCCCAAAGGAAGCCCCGGCUAACUCCGUGCCAGCAGCCGCGGUAAUACGGAGGGGGCGAGCGUUAUUCGGAAUUACUGGGCGUAAAGCGCGCGCAGGUGGCGUGGCAAGUGGCAGGUGAAAGCCCUCGGCUCAACCGAGGAAUUGCUUGCCAAACUACCGCGCUUGAGGCCGGGAGGGGGAAGCGGAAUUCCCGGUGUAGCGGUGAAAUGCGUAGAUACCAGGAGGAACACCGGUGGCGAAGGCGGCUUCCUGGCCCGGUUCUGACACUCAUGCGCGAAAGCGUGGGGAGCAAACAGGAUUAGAUACCCCGGUAGUCCACGCCCUAAACGAUGGGCACUAGGCGUCGCGGGUGUCGACCCCAUGCGGUGCCGUAGCUAACGCGUUAAGUGCUCCGCCUGGGAGACCCCCCAAGCU
RNAcentral lists this ribosomal RNA (564 nucleotides) under uncultured bacterium. RNAcentral describes it as "bacterial SSU rRNA". It matches the Rfam family "Bacterial small subunit ribosomal RNA", at positions 337 to 873 of the family's 1533-position model. The record is from RNAcentral.